This is a long non-coding RNA of Notolabrus celidotus (New Zealand spotty), 879 nucleotides long. RefSeq lists it as uncharacterized. The record is from RefSeq and is a predicted model, not a curated record. The transcript is spliced from 4 exons. NCBI's taxonomy places the organism in Eukaryota, Metazoa, Chordata, Actinopteri, Labriformes, Labridae.
ACUGACUGACACCACACACCCCUUAAAUGCGCACCUCCUCUGACUCUCCUCCUCAUGCACACACUCACCAUGCUGUCGUAGUGGAUCAGCUCCAGCUCGUAGUCAGGCAGGAUGUCGCUCCUGUUGUUCACCAGGUCCAGGGCCAUCUGAGCGGAGGGCAUGCACGCCUGCCCACCCGGCCAGCCUCCACUCAUGGGGAAUAGAGCUCCGAUGUACAGCUUUUUCUUUCCUGCGGACGGCCAAGGCCAGGAGAGGAGGAGAAGGACGAUGAAAGAAGCCCGGAGAUACAUCGCAUACUUUCGGGCAGAGUGAGCAACCCGCGGGGGAUUUCUGCAAAGUGCCUGCAUGGUUCAAGAUGUGGCCUGUAUCAGAUUCCUGGUGUACAACUGCCCCGCAUUCACAAAAGAACAAGACCCACCGGCAGACCCGAGACCUCUGUAGCGGAUCCCCCCAUCCCUAGGAGGCCGGAUGAUACCACAGCCUGAAAAAAGAGAAGAGAAGACAGAAUGAAGGACGACAGAAGCGGAGGGAAAGCUCUGCCUCCAGAUAAUGUUGGCAGCCGCAUCCACUCGAUCUGUUCCAGUUGCGCCACUGCUGCAGGCUCCGCCCUCUUGCUUGACUCUGACGUCAGACUCGGCUCCGACGGGAGGACUCCGCCCGCCGCACACAGUGAGGCAGCCUCCCUCCGCCUGGUCCCUCCCCCUCUGAGCGUGGAUCUGCUCGCUGAUUUGUUCCAGGUUUCGCAGGGCGAUGGAGUAGCGUGCCUUCACUUUAGCGACGUGCUGCUCCAGCUGCAUCACCUUGGUCUUGCUCUCCUGGAGUCACAGAGGACACAGCAACUUUCCUCAUCAGUUUCAACAUUGAUUUCAUGCCAUAACA